CGGGGCGUAGCGCAGUUUGGUAGCGCACUUGCUUUGGGAGCAAGGGGCCGCAAGUUCAAAUCUUGUCGCCCCGACCA
RNAcentral lists this transfer RNA (77 nucleotides) under Oscillospiraceae bacterium. RNAcentral's name for it is "tRNA-Pro". It matches the Rfam family "tRNA". From Rfam's summary of the family: Transfer RNA (tRNA) molecules are approximately 80 nucleotides in length. The record is from RNAcentral. Lineage: Bacteria; Bacillati; Bacillota; Clostridia; Eubacteriales; Oscillospiraceae.